RNAcentral lists this ribosomal RNA (271 nucleotides) under uncultured prokaryote. Its description in RNAcentral is "partial 16S ribosomal RNA". It matches the Rfam family "Bacterial small subunit ribosomal RNA", at positions 524 to 794 of the family's 1533-position model. The record is from RNAcentral.
UACGUAGGGUGCGAGCGUUGUCCGGAAUUAUUGGGCGUAAAGAACACGUAGGCGGUUUAUCAAGUCAUAAGUGAAAACCUUGGGCUUAACUUAAGGAUUGCAUAUGAUACUGGUAAGCUUGAGUACAGUAGAGGAAGACAGAAUUCCUGGUGUAGCGGUGGAAUGCGCAGAGAUCAGGAGGAAUACCGAAGGCGAAGGCAGUCUUCCAAGCCGUUAUUGACGCUCAACUGCGAAGGUGUGGGUAUCAAACAGGAUUAGAUACCCCCGUAGU